UAAAAUUAGAUAGGAGAUAUAGGGAAAGAAGGGUUGGGAAACUUUCUUAUGAGUCAUCUAGCAAAAGAUACAACAGUAUUCCUAACCCUGCUCCAGCCACAUCUACUGAAACACCUAUGGAUUUAGGGGUAUUACGUGGACCCCUAACUCAAGAGGAGAAGAAUAGAAGGAGAUUGAAUCAUCUCUGCAUGUAUUGUGGUUCUAAAGAACAUAUUCUGAGAGACUGCCCUAAUCUUCUAAAACAGAAGUCAGUGGGAUCAAAGACGACUGAAUAUUGAGGCCAUCGUGGAUACUGGGGCAACUGGUUGUUAUAUAGACAUAAGUUUAAUUGAAAAAAAUAAAAUACCACAUAUAGCAAAAGAAAAA
Bombina bombina (fire-bellied toad) is the source of this 366-nucleotide long non-coding RNA. RefSeq lists it as uncharacterized. Lineage: Eukaryota; Metazoa; Chordata; Amphibia; Anura; Bombinatoridae. The record is from RefSeq and is a predicted model, not a curated record. The transcript is spliced from 2 exons.